GAGAACUAAAGAAGCUCGUAGACAUUUUUGGACAGCUUGCUAUUUAUCAGAGGUGAUAGCAAGUUUGUUUCGUUUUCUCAAGUUUAUCUCUUGCUCUCUGAAACAAAAUGGUAAGCUUUAUGAUGUAUGUCAUUAUGUGUCCCUAAUACAUGUUCAUGUUUUUUAAGAUAUUUGUCUAACCUUCCUACUUGUCAGUAUAAACGUGGAGGUCACAUGCAUGGUGCAGUUUCACAAAGAAGAGCGGCCCCUUCCGCUUCCUCGUCCCCGUCCCUUUCCUCUUCCCCUACUCUUUCAUAUUUCCCUCAACCACUACAUGCUGAUGGACAACAUGGACACAUUGGCCCUUCCUCCGACCCUCAAGAACAUAUUAGGGGACAACUUGGACACAUGCGAACUGAAUCUACUUCAGUUCCACCUUCUUCUUCAGUGCAACACUCGAAUGAUGAGGGAAACACAAGUGAAGAAGAUAGUCGAUUCAUGAUACGCCCAUAUGGAGAUUCAUUCACGGAUACUACGUAUGUUGUGAUGCAACUUAAUAAAAUAGUCAAUAACUCUUGAAGGGGGUAGUAUAUUAGUUACAAUAGCGCUCCAAAAGAAGUAAAUGAUUGUGGUGGAAUGAGUUCAAGCGGAAGUUCAGGUGGGAUGAAACGGAAGAGGAUGAAGUUAAAAGAAUUUUUAAGAAGAAAGUCGGUGAUCACAUAUGAAAUGUAAUGAAUAAAGCAAAGAUAAGUCAAUAAAACCAGAUUUUAUUACGGGUGACAAUUGGACCGAAAUUAAGAGAAUUGGGAAACUGAAAAGAAUAAGCAAAUGAGUGAACAGAAUAAGAAGAAUUGAGCUUCUAGUUCUAGUGAAGGGUUUGACACAUAUGCUGGGGGCUCUAUCAACAUCGAGGAGCAUAGAAAAAGAAUGGAAAAAUAUGAUGAACUUUUAAUGAAUACUGCUGGUGGUAGUGGUGGUGAUGGUGUUGCUGUGUCUGAGCCAUCAGUUGACAGUAUGCCAUUAUGGGUAGAGGCAUCGGGUGGGAUGAAAAGAGGAAAAAUAUUUGGGAUGGGAUCCUUGUCAAGGGUAUACACAACGUAGGCUGCUGUAACUUCAUCCUCCAAUGCGGCUGUUUCAAGGAGGACACAACUUGAGGAGCAAAUGACCCAAGAAUUGAGCCAAUUGAAACAUUUACUUGUAGAGAAGGACGAAGAAAUAAGAGUGGUCAACUAACAAAUGCAAUUGAUCUUGCGACUCCUCAACCUCGAUCACGAUGAGGUUCCUCCUGUACCUCCGACUAAUCCAAUGGGUGAUGGGCACAAUGAUGAGCGACAUGAUGAUGAUGACAAUGCUGCUGAUGAUGAAGAUUUUGUCAGUCCUUGCUAGUUAAAAUUUCCAUUUUCAUAUCAUUAUAAUAUUUUUAUGCACUAAA
Molecule: long non-coding RNA, 1411 nt
Organism: Syzygium oleosum
Lineage: Eukaryota; Viridiplantae; Streptophyta; Magnoliopsida; Myrtales; Myrtaceae
Exons: 4
Source: RefSeq, a predicted model, not a curated record